GUGGGCGCGGGGAGGUGGGGGGCUGCUGGAAGAUUCCAGCCUGGCCCAGAAGACGACACAUGCUGGGCCCAGCCUGAGACAGGGAAGAACCUACCAAGCCAGGAAGGCCGACGCGGGUCGCUUGGGGGCAACUCCUGACUCAACUCCUCCCUUUGCCACUAGAUCAAUUCAUACUUGGCACAUAGUGUACAAUAUCUGACAAGGGUCCGAGUAAGGGCCCCCUCCUCUUGGAGAAAGCCAGCUUUCAAAGACAGAGCUCGACCUUGAAAAUGACCCACCGGUAGGCAUUGUCGUUGCACAGCUGGAAGUUCAGGAAGGUGACGGCCUUAAACUACCCAGCUGGGCCAGGAGCAGAGCCGAGACCAGAUUUUUGAUCCCAGGGUAAGGAGCCCUUUGCAAGUUGUGCCAUCCCUCCCCUCUUUCUUCCAGAUGGCAGGAAAACUUCUGAAGGCCCAGAGACCUCGAGAGAGAGAGCCCCAGCCUGCCUGGAGGGACAAAGCAAAGGGCCCAGCUGUUUCAGAAAGUUGUAGAAGAUGCUGAGGGCUGUGAUCUGGCUCCAGUGGAGAUGCCCGGCCUCUGGAAGUCACCCUCUUGGGCACCUGAAAGUCUUUACAGGCCAGACUGGUGAGCCAUCGUUUCUGCAAGAGACCCCUGGGAUCACCUCAUUCAACUCCUUUAUGUCACAGACCUGGAGACCUGCAAAUGGCACAGGCAACGUCUUAUUCUCUGGGCCAUGGCCCCUCAGGGGGCUCACUGCCAUUGUGACUGCCCAGUGCCCAGUACAGAGACCGUGACCCGGCCGAGCAAGCAAGACACUGGAUGGAGAAUGGGACGUGGGGUCAGGACCCCAGGAGAGAGACGGAGCACUGCGUCCUGGCAGCCCCCCUCUCCUAGGAAAUGGGGCUUCCUUCUUCCUUCCCUGGCCCCACCCCACCCAUGCCCGUUACUCCCAACUCCAGGGGCUCCCAACCCAGCCCUGUGGCUGGAUGAAGUCUGGAUGUUCAGCUCCCUCAGGAGAGGGAGUGGGAAUAAAUGUCCUUCUGCCCCGGUCGGGAUGAAAACUCCCCCGGCUGCCACCCCAGACCCGCUGAGGCUGCAUUUUAUUUUUAUUUAUUUAUUAAUUAUUUUAUUAAUUAUUAUUUUUUAAAUGUUUACUUAUAUUUUUGAGAGGGGGUGGAGGGGCAGAGAGAGAGGGAGACACAGACUCCGAAGCAGGCUCCAGGCUCUGAGCCGUCGGCACAGAGCCCGACGCGGGGUUCGAACCCGCGAACCGCGAGAUCACGACCUGAGCCCAAGUCGGACCCUUAACCGACUGAGCCACCCAGGCGCCCCCAAACCUGCAUUUUAACAAGACCCCCACGCGUUCGUGCGCCCACCCAAGUCUGAGAAGCGCUGCCCUAUGGCAUAGC
RNAcentral lists this long non-coding RNA (1409 nucleotides) under Felis catus (domestic cat). RNAcentral's name for it is "lncRNA (ENSFCAG00000050846.1)". The record is from RNAcentral. Lineage: Eukaryota; Metazoa; Chordata; Mammalia; Carnivora; Felidae.